This is a long non-coding RNA of Oncorhynchus tshawytscha (Chinook salmon), 405 nucleotides long. The record is from Ensembl. NCBI's taxonomy places the organism in Eukaryota, Metazoa, Chordata, Actinopteri, Salmoniformes, Salmonidae.
AGUAACUGUCUGUUAGGUGGUAGUAACUAUCUGCUAGGUGGUAGUAACUCUCUGUUAGGUGGUAGUAACUGUCUAACUGUCUGUUAGGUGGCUGUAACUUUCUGUUAAGUGGUAGUAACUGUCUGUUAGGUGGCAGUAACCGUCUGUUAGGUGGUAGUAACUGUCUGUAACUGUCUGUUAGAUGGUAGUAACUGUCUGUUAGGUGGCAGUAACUGUCUGUUAGGUGGUAGUAACUGUCUGUAACUGUCUGUUAGGUGGUAGUAACUGUCUGUUAGGUGGCAGUAACUGUCUGUUAGGUGGUAGUAACUGUCUGUUAGGUGGUAGUAACUGUCUAACUGUCUGUUAGGUGGCAGUAACUGUCUGUUAGGUGGUAGUAACUGUCUGUUAGGUGGUAGUAACUAUCUG